Molecule: ribosomal RNA, 653 nt
Filed under: Trichormus variabilis MACC 643
Lineage: Bacteria; Bacillati; Cyanobacteriota; Cyanophyceae; Nostocales; Nostocaceae
Description: bacterial SSU rRNA
Rfam family: Bacterial small subunit ribosomal RNA
Source: RNAcentral
CAUGGGGGAUGCUUACCAUGCAGUCGAACGGAAUCUUUAGGGAUUUAGUGGCGGACGGGUGAGUAACGCGUGAGAAUCUGGCUUCAGGUCUGGGACAACCACUGGAAACGGUGGCUAAUACCGGAUGUGCCGAGAGGUGAAAGGCUUGCUGCCUGAAGAUGAGCUUGCGUCUGAUUAGCUAGUUGGUGGGGUAAGAGCCUACCAAGGCGACGAUCAGUAGCUGGUCUGAGAGGAUGAUCAGCCACACUGGGACUGAGACACGGCCCAGACUCCUACGGGAGGCAGCAGUGGGGAAUUUUCCGCAAUGGGCGAAAGCCUGACGGAGCAAUACCGCGUGAGGGAGGAAGGCUCUUGGGUUGUAAACCUCUUUUCUCAGGGAAGAAAAAAAUGACGGUACCUGAGGAAUAAGCAUCGGCUAACUCCGUGCCAGCAGCCGCGGUAAUACGGAGGAUGCAAGCGUUAUCCGGAAUGAUUGGGCGUAAAGGGUCCGCAGGUGGCUGUGUAAGUCUGCUGUUAAAUAGUCAUGCUCAACAUGAUAAAGGCAGUGGAAACUACAUAGCUAGAGUGCGUUCGGGGCAGAGGGAAUUCCUGGUGUAGCGGUGAAAUGCGUAGAAAAUCGGGGUACGUUACAGCAUGCGAAUGCUAAAAAAACU